AAAGAAAAAAAAAGAAAGAAACCAUAUUGGAAGACGAAAUAAAUCCCGCUAAUCACUGCCUAUAUAAAGAGUUAGAAGAGUGGCCAAAACAUAUAGCUAGGCCUACUCUUGACUAACAAACUUUAACAGCAAAAAAAUAAAUACCAAAAACCUACCAUAACAUUCAUAAAACACUACAAUACUUACUCAAUCAACACACAACAGCAACAACAACUUACCCAAAAAACUACGAUAAAAUUAAUUAAGUCUGGGCUACAAAAUAAUUCAAAUGAAGGAAAAUGAAAGAAAAUUGGACACUGCGUUGCUGUUGAUGUAUUUCCGAAAGGAGAAACAGUAUACUUGAAACACCAAACUAUCAAUCAAUUAAUCAAUCAGCCAAUAAAAUAGAGAAAAGAAUACAACAUCCACUAAUUAUUAACUACAUUUGAAGGUUAGUGUAUUUUAAUUAACAUUUUGAAAACAGUGACGGGAAAGGAAAAUUGCAUGCGUUUUUUAUACAGUACUAUACAGCUUUUACACUAAUCCUCCCUUCACUAAGUUUUUCUACGAUACAGUCAUCUAUUGGUUCGAGUGUUUUAAUUAACAUUCUGAAAAGUGUGACGGGAAAAGGGAAUUGCAUGCUUUUUUAUACAAUACUAUACAGCUUUUACACUAAUCCUCCCUUCACUAAGUUUUUCUACGAUACAGUCAUCUAUUGGUUCGAGUGUUUUAAUUAACAUUCUAAAAACAGUGACGGGAAAAGGGAAAUUGCAUGCGUUUUUUUAUAAAGUACUAUACAGCUUUUACACUAAUCCUCCCUUCAUUAAGUUUUUCUACUAAACAUUCAUCUUUUGGUUAGUGUCUUUUUAAUUAACAUUCUCAAAAAAAUGAUAGAACAGGGAAAUUGCAUGCGAGUAUAUCCAUUUAUAAUAUUGAUUUUACACUAAUGUCUUUUUUAUCACACUUUCAUCUUUUGGUUCGUGUAUUUUAAUUAACAUUCUAAAAAAAGUGACAGAACAGGGAAAUUGCAUACGAGUAAAUCCAUUUCCAAUAUUGAUUUUACCUGCAACAAGAAACUUUCAAUCAAUCAAUCAAUCUCCAAUGUCCCUUUUAUCAAGUCUUUCUAUCACACAUUCAUCUUUUGGUUCGAGUAUUUUAAUUAACAUCCUAAAAAAAGUGGCGGGAAAGUGAAAUUCCAUGUAUAUUAAUCUAUUUCUAUAUUGAUUCUACAUUAAUUCCCCUUUUAAGAAGUUUUCAAUUAUCACACUUUCUUUAUUCCAACAUUACUAUCUCUUUUCUUUUUUUCUAUUUGAAGUUAGUGUGAUUUUUUUAUAUAGAUUUUCCAUAUAUAUACUACACCCUUAUUUUUUUUUCCUAGAACCUUCUUUCCCUUCUUUUCUUUCCUUUUUAAACUACACCGGCUUUUGUUUUUCAGUUUUACGCUUAAACCAACAUCUACUUGCCUUCCUUUUCCUUUUAAACUACACUUCCUUUUUAAAGUUUUACGUUUUAACCAACAUCUACUUGCCUUCCUUUUCCUUUUAAACUACACUUCCUUUUUAAAGUUUUAUGUUUAAGCCAACAU
This is a long non-coding RNA of Eriocheir sinensis (Chinese mitten crab), 1564 nucleotides long. RefSeq lists it as uncharacterized. Lineage: Eukaryota; Metazoa; Arthropoda; Malacostraca; Decapoda; Varunidae. The record is from RefSeq and is a predicted model, not a curated record. The transcript has 2 exons.